Molecule: ribosomal RNA, 575 nt
Filed under: Steinernema feltiae
Lineage: Eukaryota; Metazoa; Nematoda; Chromadorea; Rhabditida; Steinernematidae
Description: eukaryotic LSU rRNA
Rfam family: Eukaryotic large subunit ribosomal RNA
Source: RNAcentral
GGCGUGAUAUCUUUAGUUACUGGCGAGUGAAACGGAAAGAGCUCAGCGUCGAAACCGUGUUGGCUUUCGUUGACACGGUAUUGUGACGUAUAGAGGUGAUCAUGUGCGGUUUGCUAGCUUUACGAAUUUCCUUUGACUAGGAAUCCAUAGCGGGUGCAAGACCCGUACGUAUUGCCGGUUUUUCGUACGCGUUUAUCUCUUGGAGUAGGGUUGUUUGAGAUCGCAGCCCUAAGUAGGUGGUAUACUUCAUCUAAAGCUAAAUACGACUACGAAUCCGAUAGCAAACAAGUACCGUGAGGGAAAGUUGCAAAGUACUUUGAAGAGAGAGUUCAAGAGGACGUGAAACCGAUAGGAUGGAAGCAGAUGAAGUUGACGAACGUGUGUCGUAUUCAAAAUCGCUGUCAGCGGUUUGUUUUUACGGCCGAUGUGGGCCGGCGGCUUUGGUCAAUGCAACGCGUCUAGCGUCGAUGGUGACCCUGCGGAGGGACAAUCAGUCGGCGUACGGUGCUUGGUAUGGCUAAGGUUUCGCCGGUCUUAAAGUCAGCGCCUCAUCUGACCGUGGGGAAACACGGAUA